Molecule: ribosomal RNA, 440 nt
Filed under: uncultured bacterium
Lineage: Bacteria
Description: partial 16S ribosomal RNA
Rfam family: Bacterial small subunit ribosomal RNA
Source: RNAcentral
CCUACGGGAGGCAGCAGUAGGGAAUAUUGCUCAAUGGGGGAAACCCUGAAGCAGCAACGCCGCGUGGAGGAUGAAGGUUUUCGGAUUGUAAACUCCUUUUGUUAGAGAAGAUAAUGACGGUAUCUAACGAAUAAGCACCGGCUAACUCCGUGCCAGCAGCCGCGGUAAUACGGAGGGCGCAAGCGUUACUCGGAAUCACUGGGCGUAAAGAGCGCGUAGGCGGGAUAGCAAGUCAGAUGUGAAAUCCUAUGGCUUAACCAUAGAACUGCAUUUGAAACUGUUAUUCUAGAGUAUGGGAGAGGUAGGUGGAAUUCUUGGUGUAGGGGUAAAAUCCGUAGAGAUCAAGAGGAAUACUCAUUGCGAAGGCGACCUGCUGGAACAUUACUGACGCUGAUGCACGAAAGCGUGGGGAGCAAACAGGAUUAGAUACCCUAGUAGUC